Molecule: microRNA precursor, 80 nt
Organism: Gossypium raimondii (Peruvian cotton)
Lineage: Eukaryota; Viridiplantae; Streptophyta; Magnoliopsida; Malvales; Malvaceae
Rfam family: MIR7486 microRNA precursor family
Source: Rfam
AAGGAAGCGCUUUGUCCACGUGGACACAAAGCGCGCCCUCAAGGAAGCGUUUUCUGUCCACGUGGACAAAGCGCUUCCUU